Molecule: long non-coding RNA, 2200 nt
Organism: Magnolia sinica
Lineage: Eukaryota; Viridiplantae; Streptophyta; Magnoliopsida; Magnoliales; Magnoliaceae
Exons: 3
Source: RefSeq, a predicted model, not a curated record
AUAAUUGCAAUUAUUUUAUUUUAUUUUAUUUUUAAAUAUUUAUAGCCUGAAAAACUAAUUCUUAACUUAUAAGGGAGCUUCACGUCAGGUGGGCUUAAAAAAUCAAACAUGUGCAUUUGAGACCCACCUGAUGGUUGCUUACUUUCCCACCCAUGUGUCACAUUUGUAGGACCAUCGAUCACCUAUAUUUUGCAAACCUUGGGUAUACAAAUGACACAUUGACAGAAAAGAUUGAUAUAGAUCUUUUAGUAUGUCUCAUUUCAAAAUUUUAAAGGGAAUGAUUUUGGCAGGGGAAGUGGGCCCAUGAGCAAGAAUCCUAAUAGUUACUUUUAAAAUGGUCAAAUAUUAACAUAUUCUUCCAUUAUUAAUCUUCAAAUGGUGGAAGAUAAUUUAAAUAACUCUGUGCAACAUGCAUUAACAUCUAUGUUUUUAUAAUGCAGGAUAUUCAACAAAUGUUAAAUAUUGGGAAUGAGUGGUGUUGGAAAAAGAUCAAGUGGAAUGGCACGAGGAGCAGCGUCGAAAUUGAGUGAUGAAGUACAAUGGAGGUUCAUGGAAGGAGUGGAAGAAACUGUUGAAUAAAGAACAAUACAACCGAUAUUCGACUGAUGAGGAACAAAUCACUCGCUGUCCUCAUUUGGAGCCGACACAAAAAUCUAUGGGUGGUUGUGGUUCUGGGGCAACUGGGAAAUCAUUCGCAAUUGGUUCUAUAUUUUGACCAAUUCUCAUUCCCUCAUCUGCAGGAGCAUUGUGAAGUUGGAAGGGAUUUUGGUUUGGGAAUGGAUCGGGGUGAGGUGGGUUGUGAAAUGGGAUUUCAUCGGCCAUCCCCUGCAAAAGAAAAAAGAAAGUUGAUCAUCAGUUUAACUAUGCAAAGAGAGUGGGAUUAAAAAGAAUAAGAGUGAUUCUUUUUUUGUGACUUUUGAAUACAUAUACAUACCUGUAGAUGUGCAAGAUUUUGUAUGUCUUGUAUGACGUUAAAAUCUAUGGGUAGUUGUGGUUCUGAGGCAACCAGGAAAUCAUUUGCAAUUGGUUCUAUAUUUUGACCAAUUCUCAUUCCUUCAUCUGCCACCAGCGGACACUUCAUUGAGUCAUUUCAUUAAACACUUGGUGAGCAACAUCAAAGAAUACCCAUUGCUUUGUUAUCUGUUUUGCAUUUACUUCAAUUACACAGAUUCAUUUCUGGAAUUCCUGCUGAAACAUCAGAGAAUACCCAUUUCUUCUUCUUUUUCUGUUCUUUUACUUAUACUGCCUAACCGAGUCAAUUUGAGUCAAUCCGGGUUCGAGCUAUAUAUCAAACCGAGUCGAGUCGAGCUGGGGCCAACUCGAACUGGGCUCGAACUCAUUUUCAAGCUCUAAAAACCAGCUCGACUCGGAUCGAACUCAGCUUCGAACCGAGCCGAUUCAAGCUUUUUCGAGCCGAGUAGAGCGAGUUGACCGAGCUAUCUCGGUUCGUGUACACCCCUACUCAGCAGAGUCAGCUUGGUUUGGCUAAAAGCCUGUGCCAGACCCAACUCACACUGCUGCAUGUAAACAAUGCUCUAUAGGGCUCGAUGCAUCCAUCAUGGGUGCUCAGCAAGAUGUGAAGAAGAUCAAAGUUCCACUUAAACUCCACAAUGUCGAGUUGAGAGGAACUGCUUGCUCUUGACAGGUUGCUCAAUUUGAACAGAAAUGGUAGGCUUGAAAGGUUCUCCUCUAGUGUUUGCAGGCCCAGAGUUGAUGAAGCAAAAAUGAAAAAUUGAUGGGGAAAUUAAAGGACCUACUCGAGUGUACCAGAGACGGAGACGAUCACCCACAUCAGCAUAACUUUCUUUGUGGAUGGGAGACGAGUUCCAGAUGGGGCCCGCCGGGCCAUUUUAAAGACCCCACAUGUAUUGGACAUGCAUCAGGAAGACCCCACUUUUGGAUGAUGUAUGUGAGUUGUUUAGGAGACUAUUCUAGUCAUAGAAUUUCUAUUUCGUGUCAAUCCGACCGUUGGAUUUUGCCCAAUCAGGCCAUUGGGCACCAGAUCUUUUUAGAUCUGAGCCCCUUGGACUCCGACCUUGCUUUCUUUAUAUUUUUUAUUAUUUUUAUGAGUUAUUUGAUGGUUGAGAUUGAUAAUAUAUAUUUUAGUUUUCUUAUUUUAGACGAUGGGCCACUUAAGUGAAUGGCAUAGUUGUAAUUAUGCUGAAUUUUAAUUCCGAAUUUUUUAAUUAUAAAACCACAA